RNAcentral lists this ribosomal RNA (440 nucleotides) under uncultured bacterium. Its description in RNAcentral is "partial 16S ribosomal RNA". It matches the Rfam family "Bacterial small subunit ribosomal RNA", at positions 338 to 795 of the family's 1533-position model. The record is from RNAcentral.
CCUACGGGUGGCUGCAGUAGGGAAUUUUGCGCAAUGGGCGAAAGCCUGACGCAGCAACACCGCGUGAAUGUUAAGCCCUUCGGGGUUUAAAGCUCUUUCAAUCCGGACGAAUUUUGACUGUACCUAAAAAAGAAGCACCGGCUAACUCCGUGCCAGCAGCCGCGGUAAUACGGGGGGUGCAAGCGUUGUCCGGAAUCAUUGGGCGUAAAGCGUUCGUAGGCGGCUAGGUAAGUCGGAUGUGAAAGCCCGGGGCUCAACUCCGGUUCGGCAUUUGAUACUAUCUAGCUAGAAUGUGUUAGAGGUAAAUGGAAUUCCUAGUGUAGCGGUGAAAGGCGUAGAUAUCAGGAGGAACAUCAGUGGCGAAAGCGCUUUACUGGACCAUUAUUGACGCUGAGGAACGAAAGCCAGGGGAGCAAAUGGGAUUAGAUACCCGGGUAGUC